Molecule: ribosomal RNA, 301 nt
Filed under: uncultured bacterium
Lineage: Bacteria
Description: partial 16S ribosomal RNA
Rfam family: Archaeal small subunit ribosomal RNA
Source: RNAcentral
CAGUCGCCGCGGGAAUACCAGCACCUCGAGUGGUCAGGAGGUUUAUUGGGCCUAAAGCAUCCGUAGCCGGUUGCAUAAGUUUUCGGUUAAAUCUAUGCGCUUAACGUAUAGGCCGCCGAAAAUACUGUGCAGCUAGGGAGUGGGAGAGGUACACGGUACUCGAUAGGAAGGGGUAAAAUCCUUUGAUCUAUUGAUGACCACCUGUGGCGAAGGCGGUGUACCAGAACACGUUCGACGGUGAGGGAUGAAAGCUGGGGGAGCAAACCGGAUUAGAUACCCCAGUAGUCCCUGUCUCUUAUAC